ACACAACAGAAGCCGUUCGGCCUGCUGCGUUCACGUCCUCGCCCUGCCCGUAUGUCCUGUUCGGCGUUCUCUUCGCCUUCGGCACCCAUGCGCUGCGACGUGUAUGAUGCACCUAUCACUGCCGUUGUGUGCUCUGGCGGUCGUGGUCAGGUGUACUUUGCCGCGGGCAACACUGUUCACUGCAGUCGGACGGAAUCGUUAGCCUGCAGUACAUCGGUGAGCGAGCCGCACGCUUCUUCCGCCAGUGGGCGCUUUGCCACAGCGCCGCCGGGCACAACCAUCAGCGCAAUCGACGUGGCGCACCCAUCGUCGCCACUGCCAAUCGUGUUCAUGGGUGCGGCAGAUCGCGUGCUUGCCCAGCGCGGCGCAGCUGCCGAUCCGUCAAGGUGCUCUUGCAGUAUCGUUCUCCAUGCCGACGAAGGCCGUGUCCUGCGCAUCGUAGUUGACGAGCGGAGAGGUGUCGUGCGUGUACUCACCGCCUCCAAUGAUUUGUUCUGCGGCGCUUUGGACAGUAUUGCGCAGGCGCUGCGCGCACAGCCGACCUCCAGCGACUACGACGUGUCAGCUCGCUGCGUGUUUGCACGCGUAAGCGGUCCGCGGCUAGGCGUUGUGCUCGCCGCGGAUUGUCUAGUGCAGCAUCCGCUCUUACCAGAGGGGCAUGAAGGUGGCCCCACUGCAGUGCUGGAAGGGAUGGUGUGUGCGUCAUGCCGGUUGUUUUCGGCCACGUACGCGGGCGAGGUUGUAGAGUGGGAGGCCGAAGAGCAGGAUUACUGUGCAAAAGCGGCGGGCACAGAGUCACAGCAGUCGCGCGGGCAGUGUGCGCGGUCGUGCUCUGUUGUGUCUCGCGUGCAGGCCCAUCCGAGCGGCUGCGCCAUCUUCGCAGUUCGCGUGAAGGCGACGUAUUCCAUGUUGUGCGGCACUGACAGUGCGCAGGACGGCGCCACAGCGCUCGCGCUCGUGCACCUCGUUACCUGCAGUGACGAUCGGUCUGUGGCGCUGUAUGAACGACGCCGUCCGAUAGCGUCCGCUGGCAACCACUUGGAAAGGAGAACAGAGCCGCAGGAAAGCGACUGGGUGCUGCUGUGGCGUGGGAGCGGUGCUGGUUUUGCCCGCAGUCGCAUUUUCGACGUCGCGCUGCACGCCGCAUCGUGGCCGUAUGCGACAAAGAGCCCUGCGCAGCCUUGGCGAAGCUGCAUGGUGUACGUUGGCGUUGCCGGCGAGGAUGGCGCCGUGCAGGUGGUCGAGGUGAACGCCAGGGAGGACGGCGACUUGGUUGCGUGGCCCUUGAGUCACCAGACUCAGUCUGAAUGCCGGAGGGCUUCUGCAACGCCUCGUCUCGUACGCCUUCAUCAGCACCGCGGCCACGGCGCGUAUCGCGUGGCCUUCUCCACCUCUUCACCAAAUUCCGUGACGCUCAUCUCUGGUGGCUUCGACGGUGCGGUGUUUGCCCACACACUACCGUCCGCGCUACGGCACCAGGCAUGCGAUGUGGGCAGAGCGGUGCAGCUGCGACCACACGACGUAAUGCUGCAACCUCCGAUUUUGGCGACUGCAAAGGUCUGCGACGGCAUGGCCAUCGAACGUGAGGAGGUGCUGCAGCCUCAUCCGUCAUCAAGCUCAUCGGCUAAGAAAACGGAUCAGGUGCGCGCGUUGCACGUGGACGGCAAUGGGCUUUUACUCGCCUGCACUAGCCGUGCCUUGUGUGUGCUGCGCGUCGAUGCAUCAGCGCGCAGCUGGUGGAUUGCGCUGCCAACGGUCGCUUCGCGACGGCGCUGUGGAGUGGCCGGGGAUGAGCCCGCCUUGGACUGGGGUGUGCCAGCAGCCUUGGAGAGCGCCGUCGCACGGUGCUGCGUAUCCUCUGUGAGAGGGUCGAAGCUUUCGUCCGUUGGGUGCGCCUUGAUCGGCACGACAGCUGGUGUCCUGUGCGCUGCACCAUACGGCUACACACACGCAGAACUCGGCAGCUCCUUUCCUGUGGCCUCGUUCGCGGCAGUGCACGCCAAACGGCCAGAUGCGGACGCGUUACCGUCAACGUCUGCUCUGCAGUCGUUUGGCAAAAUCACCAAAGUGUCUGCUCUUCACAUGCACGAAGGCAACUUGGGAGCCAUCACACACGCUUUUAGCGGUGAUGACGAUGCAACAGCACUCCGCUCCACUGGUGCCACCACAAGCGAGUUCGUUGUGGCGACGAAUCACGUACGCGGCACCAUUGUGCUCUCGAGGCUGCUGCUAACCUUGUGCAAUGUGUGCAGCAGUGGUGAGCGCGCUAUUGGGGUUGACCGGCCCGUUGGGCUUUGCGUGAGCGCUGUGUGGCACACGCUCAUCGUCUACAGUGACUGCCCGGGACCUCUCACGACGGCCUUGUCGCUGAUGCCGAUCCGCUGCGGCCGAUAUGAUGCGAGUGAGAGCAACUACGGCUGCUGCUGCUGUCUGGAGGGUAACGUGGCUCUUUCGCUCUGGCUUCUCGUUGGAGAUAGAAAUGGGUGCCUCUUGGGAACACGGUACGAGGUAAUGAACCGCGCCCUUGAGUCGGCGGCCAAUUCUCUUGAUUCUUACAAACUGCCCUUUGCUACCUCCCUGAAGGCGGUGGCCACGGUUCACCGCUACGUCUUUGCCGAGCACCUGCACACUGCCAUUUCUGCUCUCUGUGCCGAGAACUGCAGCUCUGCGACUUCUGUCGGUGGUGCGUGCGUGUCAUCGGACACGCUCAUCACAGUUGCUGGAACCGGUGGUGUGGUGGAAUAUGUGUACCUGCAUGCCUCGACCUCUUCGAGCAAGGCUGAAGCAGUGGGGUCGUCUCCGCUGCCAUCGCGCGCGAGGGAACCUUUGCGCCUUCCCUUUGAAGUCUCCUCUGUGCUCUCCGUGUCGCCGUGCAUGUGGGUGGUGCAGUGCGGCACAACUGUCUCGAUCCUUUAUCGCAUCCCGGGGCAAUCGUCGUGGGUGCCGGUGGGCAGCUGCGACGGGGUUCGUGCUCCACGGCUGCUGACCGCACGCGUCGUUGCCGCCUCUCCCGCCGGUAGCCCAAUGGCGUUCUUCGCGCACUGCUCCGACGGUCGAACCGUGGAGCGGAUGAUGGUGAAACCAGACCCCAACGUAUUGCUGCAUCCAGCACUUCCGCUCUGUGGUGCCCAAACGGCUCUUGUGCACGGGGUCGGCUUCCCAGGCAAGGACUACAACUGCGUGGCGUACGCACCAGCGCCACUUCACUGCCUUUUGAUGGGUAAUGAAGACAGCAGCGUCGCCUUGUAUCCGGUUCUGGCUGCGAGUGCUGGCAUGGGGGUGCCUAAUGCUCAUUCUUUGUUUGGUGGUCUUCUCACUCCGUUGAACGUGUGUGGUGCCCAUCACUCGAACAUCCUGGCGAUGGCCGUGCUUCCCCGCACCGAGGCGGAUGCGUUGCGGUUUGUUUCGGUGGGCAGUGGUGCCAUGGUGAACUUGUGGUCCGCUGGUCUGAUUGCCAGCCCCCUGCAGCUGUUGGACUGGUGGUGCGGCAGUGGCGCCCCGUCGCCACAAAACACCGCGACAUCGCCGCCGGAUGGCGCUCCGUCACCUGAUGGGAAGAGUGAAGGCGCGCCAUGUGAGCUUCGCAUCAACAGCGCGCGCUUCCAGAGGCGGCGUGAAAAGAGAGCUGUUGCGGCAUCCAUGUCUCUGACGCUUACAGACCGCAUCCCGCGAUUUAUGGCGGUGACGGCGUUGAGCUCGACGGACAUCGCUGUCGGCAGCAGCGACGGAACAGUUCUCUUCUUCCGCGUGCACGAAGACCGAGGCGCUGAGGGCGGAUCGCCGCAGCCAGCAGGAGCCACGCUGCAGCUGAGAUGGCAAGGGGUGCUGAACACAGAACGGCCGAAGCCGGUCAUGUGUAUAAGUAGCACACACGACGGUGGCCCAGACGCGUUGACACGCUCCGUAAACGCCGACCGCGCACCACGGUUGGUGGUUGCUGGCGACACGAAUGGAGUGGUGUACGCAGUCGACGCCGGAUCACACAUCGUACGCUCGCACACGCGAUUGGAGCAGUCGUGCGUGAAUGCGAUCAGCGAGCUGCAGCGGAUGCUGACCGUUUUGCCAUAUGAUGCAGACGCGGCAAGGCACCAGUGGCGGUUUGCGGCGUUGCAUGACUCUGGAGUUGUGCAUUUGAUGGCACUCGAGGUGACUGCGGCGCAAGGCGGGAGCAUUCGGACUGCUGAGCUGCGUCGGCUCUGCAGUGCGUCCACUGGCUUGACUGCAGGGAGGAGUGCGCAUUGGCCUGCGCUUUCACUACCGCUUGUUGUAGUCACCGAGGAGCGCAUCAUCGAGUUUGAUCCAGAGGCGGCGCAGCGCGGGAAAUUGCGUCUUUUGCGUACACAGCGAGUGAGUGUGCGCUGUGUGAGUGGGGCCGCUUUGGUGAGCGAGGCGUCCAGCAAUAAGCGGUUACCACCUCAAUCACGAGUGGCCGUCGUUGGCCAGGGGUUCGAGCUCGUUGGCUGAGAGAGGAAGGGGGAGCAAAAAAAUGAGGGGUCAUCGGUAUGGCCGAUGGCAAAGGUCAAGCGUCGGGUGAGCGAAGGAUGUCAUUGCUCCUCUGUGCCGCAGUCCGAGUAUGCGGCUAGGUAGCUGCUGCCCGCACGCGUAAGCCAGCACGCGAACGCACGCAGAUGCGCAUGUAUGUGUGCUGUGACUCCGUCAGCGUGGAUGCAAAGCAAACGCGGACGCUGUUGCGUGUGGUCGAGUGCGUUCUGAACUCACGACGCGUCUCACCUGCUUGUCGACAUAUUACUCUGUCUUCGGAACGUGGGGCCUCAUGGCGCGCGGCGGCGACGUCCUUGACCCCAGUCAGCCACGAUGUCGUCCGUUUGGCUCUUUGCUGUGGCUUUGGUGGGAGUCGAUGUGAAUCCUUGGCCACGUGCGCAGUUUGUGUGGCCCGCUGGGCCCGCUUUUUCCUUUC
RNAcentral lists this unclassified non-coding RNA (4918 nucleotides) under Leishmania donovani. Its description in RNAcentral is "gene:LdHU3.36.7260(CDS-product:hypothetical_prote in_conserved)". Lineage: Eukaryota; Euglenozoa; Kinetoplastea; Trypanosomatida; Trypanosomatidae. The record is from RNAcentral.